Molecule: ribosomal RNA, 933 nt
Filed under: Klebsiella pneumoniae
Lineage: Bacteria; Pseudomonadati; Pseudomonadota; Gammaproteobacteria; Enterobacterales; Enterobacteriaceae
Description: bacterial SSU rRNA
Rfam family: Bacterial small subunit ribosomal RNA
Source: RNAcentral
GAUUGAACGCUGGCGGCAGGCCUAACACAUGCAAGUCGAGCGGUAGCACAGAGAGCUUGCUCUCGGGUGACGAGCGGCGGACGGGUGAGUAAUGUCUGGGAAACUGCCUGAUGGAGGGGGAUAACUACUGGAAACGGUAGCUAAUACCGCAUAACGUCGCAAGACCAAAGUGGGGGACCUUCGGGCCUCAUGCCAUCAGAUGUGCCCAGAUGGGAUUAGCUAGUAGGUGGGGUAACGGCUCACCUAGGCGACGAUCCCUAGCUGGUCUGAGAGGAUGACCAGCCACACUGGAACUGAGACACGGUCCAGACUCCUACGGGAGGCAGCAGUGGGGAAUAUUGCACAAUGGGCGCAAGCCUGAUGCAGCCAUGCCGCGUGUGUGAAGAAGGCCUUCGGGUUGUAAAGCACUUUCAGCGGGGAGGAAGGCGGUGAGGUUAAUAACCUUGUCGAUUGACGUUACCCGCAGAAGAAGCACCGGCUAACUCCGUGCCAGCAGCCGCGGUAAUACGGAGGGUGCAAGCGUUAAUCGGAAUUACUGGGCGUAAAGCGCACGCAGGCGGUCUGUCAAGUCGGAUGUGAAAUCCCCGGGCUCAACCUGGGAACUGCAUUCGAAACUGGCAGGCUAGAGUCUUGUAGAGGGGGGUAGAAUUCCAGGUGUAGCGGUGAAAUGCGUAGAGAUCUGGAGGAAUACCGGUGGCGAAGGCGGCCCCCUGGACAAAGACUGACGCUCAGGUGCGAAAGCGUGGGGAGCAAACAGGAUUAGAUACCCUGGUAGUCCACGCCGUAAACGAUGUCGAUUUGGAGGUUGUGCCCUUGAGGCGUGGCUUCCGGAGCUAACGCGUUAAAUCGACCGCCUGGGGAGUACGGCCGCAAGGUUAAAACUCAAAUGAAUUGACGGGGGCCCGCACAAGCGGUGGAGCAUGUGGUUUAAUU